AUUGAACGCUGGCGGCAUGCUUUACACAUGCAAGUCGAACGGCAGCGCGGGCUUCGGCCUGGCGGCGAGUGGCGAACGGGUGAGUAAUGCAUCGGAACGUGCCCAGUAGUGGGGGAUAGCCCGGCGAAAGCCGGAUGAAUACCGCACACGACCUGAGGGUGAAAGCGGGGGACCGAAAGGCCUCGCGCUAUUGGAGCGGCCGAUGUCGGAUUAGCUAGUUGGUGGGGUAAAGGCUUACCAAGGCGACGAUCCGUAGCUGGGCUGAGAGGACGACCAGCCACACUGGGACUGAGACACGGCCCAGACUCCUACGGGAGGCAGCAGUGGGGAAUUUUGGACAAUGGGGGCAACCCUGAUCCAGCCAUGCCGCGUGCGGGAAGAAGGCCUUCGGGUUGUAAACCGCUUUUGUUCGGGAAGAACUCCUCUGGGCUAAUACCCCGGGGGGAUGACGGUACCGGAAGAAUAAGCACCGGCUAACUACGUG
Molecule: ribosomal RNA, 484 nt
Filed under: uncultured bacterium
Lineage: Bacteria
Description: partial 16S ribosomal RNA
Rfam family: Bacterial small subunit ribosomal RNA
Source: RNAcentral